UAGACCCGAAACCAGGUGAUCUACCCAUGUCCAGGAUGAAGGUAAGGUAAUACUUACUGGAGGUCCGAACCCACGCACGUUGAAAAGUGCGGGGAUGAGGUGUGGGUAGCGGAGAAAUUCCAAUCGAACUUGGAGAUAGCUGGUUCUCUCCGAAAUAGCUUUAGGGCUAGCCUCGAGGUAAAGAGUCAUGGAGGUAGAGCACUGUUUGGACUAGGGGCCCUUCUCGGGUUACCGAAUUCAGAUAAACUCCGAAUGCCAUGUACUUAUACUCGGGAGUCAGACUGCGAGUGAUAAGAUCCGUAGUCGAAAGGGAAACAGCCCAGACCACCAGUUAAGGUCCCCAAAUAUAUGUUAAGUGGAAAAGGAUGUGGGGUUGCUUAGACAACCAGGAUGUUGGCUUAGAAGCAGCCACCAUUGAAAGAGUGCGUAAUAGCUCACUGGUCGAGUGACCCCGCGCCGAAAAUGUACCGGGGCUAAACAUAUUACCGAAACUGUGGAUGAACCUCUUUAGAGGUUCGUGGUAGGAGAGCGUUCUAAGGGCGGUGAAGUCAGACCGGAAGGACUGGUGGAGCGCUUAGAAGUGAGAAUGCCGGUAUGAGUAGCGAAAGAAGGGUGAGAAUCCCUUCCACCGAAUAUCUAAGGUUUCCUGAGGAAGGCUCGUCCGCUCAGGGUUAGUCGGGACCUAAGCCGAGGCCGAUAGGCGUAGGCGAUGGACAACAGGUAGAGAUUCCUGUACCAGUGCUAAUUGUUUAACCGAUGGGGUGACACAGAAGGAUAGGGAAUCGCACGAAUGGAAAUGUGCGUCCAAGCAGUGAGUGUGAG
This 822-nucleotide ribosomal RNA is filed under the name Listeria monocytogenes. RNAcentral describes it as "partial 23S ribosomal RNA". It matches the Rfam family "Bacterial large subunit ribosomal RNA", at positions 710 to 1529 of the family's 2925-position model. Lineage: Bacteria; Bacillati; Bacillota; Bacilli; Caryophanales; Listeriaceae. The record is from RNAcentral.